Molecule: ribosomal RNA, 375 nt
Filed under: uncultured bacterium
Lineage: Bacteria
Description: bacterial SSU rRNA
Rfam family: Bacterial small subunit ribosomal RNA
Source: RNAcentral
AUACGUAGGGUGCAAGCGUUAAUCGGAAUUACUGGGCGUAAAGCGUGCGCAGGCGGUUUUGUAAGACAGAGGUGAAAUCCCCGGGCUCAACCUGGGAACUGCCUUUGUGACUGCAAGGCUGGAGUGCGGCAGAGGGGGAUGGAAUUCCGCGUGUAGCAGUGAAAUGCGUAGAUAUGCGGAGGAACACCGAUGGCGAAGGCAAUCCCCUGGGCCUGCACUGACGCUCAUGCACGAAAGCGUGGGGAGCAAACAGGAUUAGAUACCCUGGUAGUCCACGCCCUAAACGAUGUCAACUGGUUGUUGGGUCUUCACUGACUCAGUAACGAAGCUAACGCGUGAAGUUGACCGCCUGGGGAGUACGGCCGCAAGGUUGAA